Molecule: ribosomal RNA, 325 nt
Filed under: uncultured eukaryote
Lineage: Eukaryota
Description: partial 18S ribosomal RNA
Rfam family: Eukaryotic small subunit ribosomal RNA
Source: RNAcentral
CCCUUAGAUGUCCUGGGCCGCACGCGCGUUACACUGAUGCAUUCAACGAGCUUAUAACCUUGGCCGAGAGGCCUGGGCAAUCUUGUUAACGUGCAUCGUGAUAGGGAUAGAUUAUUGAAAUUAUUAAUCUUGAACGAGGAAUUCCUAGUAAACGCAGAUCAUCAAUCUGCAUUGAUUACGUCCCUGCCCUUUGUACACACCGCCCGUCGCACCUACCGAUUGGAUGGUCCGGUGAAUAAUUCGGACUGCAGCAGUGUUCGGUCACGAACGUUGCAGCGGAAAGUUUAGUGAACCUUAUCACUUAGAGGAAGGAGAAGUCGUAACA